CGGACGAGGGGGAGGGGGUGUUUUGGUUCUAGCCGCUCGCCGUCCUUUCCAGAGUCGGUGGUCCGAAAGCUGCCUGUUCUUGCUUUCUUUUCCCUUUCCCUUUCCCUUUCCUUUUCCUUUUCCCAGUCUCUGUCCUCCCUCCCUCCUUCCUCUCUGUCUGCCUCCUUUUUUUUUACUGACGCCCCGGGGCCGGGCCAUUUUCCGGGCCGGGCACACUAAGGUGCACGGCUCCGGGGCCCAGUAUAUGACCCGCAGUCUUGCUACCCCUCGCUUCCCCCGCCCCAUGUGGCUGCGGGGCCCUGGCGGCGCUGCCCACUAUGGCCCGGAAAGCAGUUAGCAGGAAGCGGAAAGCGCCAGCCUCGCCGGGAGCUGGGAGUGACGCUCAGGGCCCGCAGUUUGGCUGGGAUCACUCCCUUCACAAAAGGAAAAGACUCCCCCCAGUGAAGAGAUCCUUAGUGUACUACCUGAAGAACCGAGAAGUCAGGCUACAGAAUGAAACCAGCUACUCUCGUGUUUUGCAUGGUUAUGCAGCACAGCAACUUCCCAGUCUCCUGAAGGAGAGAGAGUUCCACCUUGGGACCCUUAAUAAAGUGUUUGCAUCUCAGUGGCUGAAUCAUAGGCAGGUGGUGUGUGGCACAAAAUGCAACACGCUCUUUGUAGUAGAUGUCCAGACAAGCCAGAUUACCAAGAUUCCCAUUCUGAAGGACCGGGAGCCUGGAGGUAUAACCCAGCAGGGCUGUGGUAUCCAUGCCAUUGAGCUGAAUCCCUCUAGAACACUGUUAGCCACUGGAGGAGACAACCCCAACAGUCUUGCCAUCUACCGGCUGCCUACACUAGAUCCUGUGUGUGUAGGAGAUGAUGGGCACAAGGACUGGAUCUUCUCUAUCGCAUGGAUCAAUGACACCAUGGCUGUGUCUGGCUCACGUGAUGGUUCUAUGGGACUUUGGGAGGUCACAGAUGAUGUGUUGACCAGAAGUGAUGCAAGGCACAGUGUGUCACAAGUCCCUGUGUAUGCUCACAUCACUCACAAGGCCUUAAAGGAUAUCCCCAAGGAAGACACAAACCCUGACAACUGCAAGGUCCGUGCUCUGGCCUUCAACAACAAGAACAAGGAAUUGGGAGCAGUAUCUCUGGAUGGCUACUUUCAUCUCUGGAAGGCUGAAAAUACACUAUCUAAGCUCCUCUCCACCAAACUCCCCUAUUGCCGUGAGAAUGUGUGUCUGGCUUAUGGUAGUGAAUGGUCAGUAUAUGCAGUGGGCUCCCAAGCUCAUGUCUCCUUCUUGGAUCCACGGCAGCCAUCGUACAACAUCAAGUCUGUUUGCUCUAGAGAGCGAGGCAGUGGGAUCCGAUCAGUGAGCUUCUAUGAGCACAUCAUCACUGUGGGCACAGGGCAGGGCUCCCUGCUGUUCUAUGACAUCCGAGCUCAGAGAUUCCUAGAAGAGAGGCUCUCGGCUUGUUAUGGGUCCAAGCCCAGACUAGCAGGAGAGAAUCUGAAACUAACCACUGGCAAAGGCUGGCUGAAUCAUGAUGAAACCUGGAGGAAUUACUUUUCGGACAUUGAUUUCUUCCCCAAUGCUGUUUACACCCACUGCUAUGACUCAUCCGGAACAAAACUCUUUGUGGCAGGGGGUCCCCUCCCUUCAGGGCUCCAUGGAAACUAUGCUGGGCUCUGGAGUUAAUGACAACUAACUCUCUCCCAAAAUGCAGAGAUUUACACUAACUUCCAUCUUCUGUUUCCUUGUUUCUUCUUUUGAUUUUUUCCAAUUGUGUGAGGCCCUCAUAUUUUAGUGGGAACACCAGAGUUUGCCUAUGGUUUAGGCACUUGACAGAAAGAAGCUCUAUAUAGAAACCUGAAGGUUUUGUUUGUUUGUUUUUUCCCUUUUGGUAAUCAGAAUUUUACUUUACUAUGUUUUUUUCUUUCUGGCUUCUCAACCAAAUGUUUUUAAUCCCUAUUUGUAUUUUUUUUUUUUUUCAAGUGGCACAUACUUUUCCCUUUCUGAUUUCUUUAGGCUGACGUAGUCAUUCUCACCCUUACUUCACUCUUGAGAGAGCUUAUUCUGGGGAAAGGAAAAGUCUUAUUUAUGACUGCACUCCAGGAUCUAAGUUGCUCUCCUAGUCAUCCCUAUCUGUUCCAGGUAUAAGUGGGGAGAUUGAAAAGAGUGUCUUCUUGAUGAUGGGGGCUGGUGGGAGGGAAGUCAGCAAGUCAUCAUAUAUCUUGGCGGUACAGUACAUACACCACAGGUUCUAGAAUUCUCAUCUUCAAAUCUAGAGAAAUAGGUGCUAUAAAUGGAAUUAAGCAAAAUGCUGGAUGCUGUAGCUCUUUUAAUUGUCUUAAUUUUUUUCUAUUAAACUACAGGCUGUAGAUUUCUUAGUUCUCACAGAACUUCUAUCAUUUUAAACCAACUUGUAUAUUAAAAAAAAAAAGAUAAGUUCUUAAGUAGGAUGUUUUGUACUGUUGUCAGACCCUCUUCUGUGAUGGGUAAUGCGUUUGAUUCAGUUUUUGUUUUCAAAAAUGUAGCACUUGACUUUUUGCCAAGUAAAAAAAAUAAAUAUUAUUUCAGUGCAAAGUGGUUUGAGUGAGUA
This is an RNA transcript of Molossus molossus (Pallas's mastiff bat), 2583 nucleotides long. It is a transcript of the gene named DDB1 and CUL4 associated factor 12, with no coding region annotated. The record is from RefSeq and is a predicted model, not a curated record. NCBI's taxonomy places the organism in Eukaryota, Metazoa, Chordata, Mammalia, Chiroptera, Molossidae. The transcript is spliced from 10 exons.